This 379-nucleotide unclassified non-coding RNA is filed under the name uncultured Bacteriovoracaceae bacterium. Its description in RNAcentral is "contains 16S-23S intergenic spacer region". The record is from RNAcentral. Lineage: Bacteria; Pseudomonadati; Bdellovibrionota; Bacteriovoracia; Bacteriovoracales; Bacteriovoracaceae.
UCCUGGUUAACCCAGGCAGUCUUCCUAGAGUGCCCAACUUAAUGCUGGCAACUAAGAAUAGGGGUUGCGCUCGUUGCGAGACUUAACCCAACAUUUCACAACACGAGCUGACGACAGCCAUGCAGCACCUCUCUCUCCAUUCUCUUGCGAGCACCCCAACCGUUACGUCGGGUUCGGAGGAGUUCAAGCCCAGGUAAGGUUCUUCGCGUUGCUUCGAAUUAAACCACAUAAUCCACCGCUUGUGCGGGCCCCCGUCAAUUUGUUUGAGUUUUAGUCUUGCGACCGUACUUCCCAGGCGGUGCACUUAACGCGUUAGCUACGCCUCUGAGGGAGUCAAUACCCCCAAAGGCCAGUGCACAUAGUUUACGGCGUGGACUAC